RNAcentral lists this ribosomal RNA (468 nucleotides) under uncultured bacterium. RNAcentral describes it as "partial 16S ribosomal RNA". It matches the Rfam family "Bacterial small subunit ribosomal RNA", at positions 28 to 507 of the family's 1533-position model. The record is from RNAcentral.
GACGAACGCUGGCGGCGUGCUUAACACAUGCAAGUCGAACGGAAAGGCCCUGCUUUUGUGGGGUGCUCGAGUGGCGACCGGGUGAGUAACCCGUGAGUAACCUGCCCUUGACUUUGGGAUAACUUCAGGACACUGGGGCUAAUACCGGAUAGGAGCUCCUGCUGCAUGGUGGGGUUGGGAAGGUUUCGCCGGUUGGGGUUGGACUCGCGGCUAAUCGGCUUGUUGGUGGGGUGGUGGCUUACCAAGGCUUGGCCGGGUGGCCGGCCUGGGAGGGGCAGCGGCCACAUUGGGACUGAGAUAAGGCCCAGACUCCAACGGGAGGCAGCAGUGGGGAAUAGUACACAAUGGGCGGAAGCCUGGUGCAGCACCGCCGCGUGCGGGGAGACGGCCUGCGGGUUGUAAUCCACUGUCGCCUUUGACGAAGCGUUAGUGACGGUAAUGGGUAAAGAAGCACCGGCUAACUACGUG